GAAUUGCGAUAUGUAAUGUGAAUUGCAGAAUUCAGUGAAUCAUCGAAUCUUUGAACGCAUAUUGCACCCUCAGGUCUUUUCCAGAGGGUAUGCCUGUUUGAGUGUCAUUAAAUACAUCAAUGUAGACUUGUCUUUUGACUUGCUCUACACUUGGAAGUUGAAGGCUUGCUGGUUGUCAUGAUCAGCUCCUUUUAAAUUCAUUAGCGGGACUUUUGAAGACUUGGCUUCAGUUUGAUACAAUGUCUAUGCUGUCGCUAAGGAACGGUUUAGUCUGGCUUAUAAUUGUCCUUUGGGACUGUCUCUAGUGGGCAUAACAAACUUUGACUCUUGACCUCAAAUCAGGUAGGACUACCCGCUGAACUUAA
Molecule: unclassified non-coding RNA, 365 nt
Filed under: uncultured Clavaria
Lineage: Eukaryota; Fungi; Basidiomycota; Agaricomycetes; Agaricales; Clavariaceae
Description: sequence contains ITS1
Rfam family: 5.8S ribosomal RNA (bases 1-107)
Source: RNAcentral